Molecule: ribosomal RNA, 3095 nt
Filed under: Candidatus Aenigmatarchaeota archaeon
Lineage: Archaea; Nanobdellati; Candidatus Aenigmatarchaeota
Description: 23S ribosomal RNA
Rfam family: Archaeal large subunit ribosomal RNA
Source: RNAcentral
CACUUGGUGGAUGGCUCGGCUCUAUACACUGACGAAGGACGUGCCAAGCUGCGAUAAGCCCAGGUUAACCGCAAGGAGGUUUUGACCCUGGGAUAUCUGAAUGCGAUUCGUUGGCUUCGGCCAAUUCCGAAAGGAAAAGGAACGCGGAGAAGUGAAGCAUCUUAGUAGCCGCAGGAAAAGAAACCAAUAGAGAUUUCCUUAGUAACGGCGAGUAAAAGGGAAACAGAGCAAACCGAACGCCAUAAGAAAUUAUGGAUGGAUGUGGUGUAGUAGGACUUGGGUACUUCUUAACCAGCCGACUCGAAUGAGCUGGAAAGCUCUGCCUAAGAGGGUGAUAGCCCCGUAAAGGAAGGGUGGAAAGAGGAUUCCAAGUAUCCUGAAUACUGUUCCUUGGAUAUGGAGCAGGAAUCUGCCAGGCAUUAACUGGCAACUCUAAAUAUGUGUAGAGUCCGAUAGCGCACUAGUAUAGUGAUAGAAAGCUGAAAAGUACGGCGAAAGCCGGGUAAAAAGAGCCUGAAACCAAGAUGGAGUUAGUCAGCUAUGGCUCGGAAGGUGCUGCUUGAAGGCAACUAAAAGCAGCUUACAGGGUCAUAGCGUCCGUUUCGAAAUUAGAUGAAGUGUAAGUAUUGUUGUUUCUUCAUUUCCUCUAACGAAAUACACGGGGCAGGGAGUUUGUCUUAGUGGUGAGGUUAAGUGGUUUAAGCCAUGAAACCAAAGCGAAAGCAAUUGUCCGUAUCGCGAGAAUGGGACACCGUCUGAAAGGGCGGGAAAUCACUAGGGCAAGAUCCGAAGGGCGUCGAUCUAAUCCUGACCAAGGCGAAGUCUCUCGAAAGAGAGAUGGAAGCCUGCUACCGGUGAUGGGCUGACAUCCUCUCGGGUGAGUUAGGAUUAGUGGUGAAAAGCCUAACGAGACGCCGGAUAGCUGAUUCCUCCCGAAAUGCAUGUUAGUGCAGCCUCGCCAGAGCUAUGUAUUUGGGUAGAGUUACUGAUUGGAUUGUCAAGGACCGAAAGGUUCAGCUGUCCUGUCAAACUCCGAACCAGGUACAAGCGUAGAAGGCGGGAGUGAGGGUGCUGGGGUAAGCUCGGCAUCCACAAGGGGAACAACCCAACCUAAGGUUAAGGUCUCUAAAUUUUAGCUAAACGAAGAAGGGAGUUGGAAUUCUCAGACAGUAGCGCUGUAGGCUCAGAAGCAGCCAUCAGCUAAGAAAUGCGUAACAGCUUAGCUACCGAGAAUUCUGGCCCUGAAGAUGGAAGAGACUAAGCUAAAUACCGAUACCCUAGACUGCGAAAGCAGGGGUAGGGAGGCGUUCUGCAUGGAUAGAAGCUUCUGCGUAAGCAGAAGUGGACCGUGUGGAAUUGAAGAUCCUGCCAAAAGUAGCAACAGAGCUGGGUGAAAUUCCCAGUCGCCUAAACUCCAAGGGUUUGCCAGCAAUGUUCAUCAGCUGGCAGUUAGCUGAUCUCUAAAGGUACCCUCAACUGGAGUACUUGAUGGGAAACCGGUUAAUAUUCCGGUGCCAUGAAGGUACGUGUGGCAACACAAGGCAAAUUCCUGACGCUUUUGGAUGAGCUGACGCAAGUUAACUGCUGAAGCCUGCGGAGUCUUGUAAUGAGGAGAAGCAGGUGAAUGCAGGAACAGCUCUGCGUAUGCAGAGUUCGGCUGAUUCCGAGAGCCCGUGAAAAGGGAAUUUGCAAGGAUCCUUCAUGUCCAUACCGAGAACCGCCACAGGUGGAGUUGCUGAGAAGGCAAUGGUGGAGUGGGAGAACCCAAUCUAAGGAAAUCGGCAAAUUAGUGGUGUAUGUUCGCUAGAAGCCAUGCCUGUUACUUGCUAGUAGCAGGCCACAGUUACAAGGGGCAAGCGACUGUUUAACAAAAACGAUGGAGACUGCUAAAGCGAAAGCUUGAGUACAGUUUCUUAUGCCUGCCCAGUACUGGUGUGUCAAGCCCUGUUUCAACAGGAAGAAGCCCCAGUAAACGGCGGCAGUAACUCUGACUGUCGUAAAGUAGCGUAAUCCCUUGCCGUUUAAUUAACGGCCUGUCUGAAUGGCUUAACGACUUGCCCGCUGUCUUGGGUUGGUACCCAGCGAAAUUGCUUUUCUGGUGAAUAGGCCAGAGACCUCUAGUGGGAAAUUAUUGAUGUAGAAUUAUCUAUCUCGAUAACCCAAUACGUAGACCCCGUAGAGCUUUACUGCAGUCUGUCGCUGCGAUACGGUUUUGGUUGCAUAGAGUAGGUAGUACUCGCUAAGGCUUAGGCUUCGGCCGAAAGCUGAGAGGAAAGUGUAACACUACCCUUUCAAAACUGUGUUGCUUACUAGCAAUAGGACAACGUCAGAUGGGCAGUUCGGCUGGGGUGGUACUUCCUUGAGAAGAUAUCAAGGAAUCCCAAAGCUCAACUCAUCCGGGUCACAGCAAGUGCUGGUGAUGAUUAAACCAUUCCAGUAUGAAAAAAGAUGAGUAGGGAGGUAACUAAUGAACAAUAUAGGCAUUUGUUGCCCGCAAGAAAUCCGGAGUAGAGUGUAAACGCAAAAGUUGGGCUGACUGUAUCCCGAAAAGCAAGGGAUUCAGCUGCGAAAGCAUGGGUUAGCGAUACAUCGAACGGCCUUAAUGGCUGUCGGUGGUAUAAGAAAAGUUACCUCGGGGAUAGCAUCGGUGGAGUAUUUUCCAUCAUCUAUCCCAGUUGAACUGUUGUAGUAGUUCUACGGAUCGAAAAAGACGUUCAAGGCCAUAGGCUCACCAAGGUAACAUGGUAGAGUCAUCUUUACCGAUGCCCCCAAAAUGGGCCCGUGGCCGGUGAAAGCCCACAUUGACCCGGCGCGUUGGUGCGUCGUUGUCGGCUCCCCCUCUCCUGGCUGUGCAGCAGCAGCCAAGGGUACAGGUGUCCACUGGUUAAAAGGGGACGCUAGCUGGGUUCAGAACGUCGUGAGACAGUUCGGUCGCUAUCUAUUAGAGGUGUUGAUUGACUGACCGGAAGGAGGGACAAGUACGAAAGGAACAUCCCCCCGUGGCCUCUGGUGUACCUGUCGUUAUUGCGUGCAGGGCAGCUAAGCCAUACAUGGAUAAGAGCUGAAAGCAUCUAAGCUCGAAACCAUUCGGAAAA